Molecule: ribosomal RNA, 1144 nt
Filed under: Limnonectes coffeatus
Lineage: Eukaryota; Metazoa; Chordata; Amphibia; Anura; Dicroglossidae
Description: partial 16S ribosomal RNA
Rfam family: Bacterial large subunit ribosomal RNA
Source: RNAcentral
CUCAAAACAGCUAUUUGAGCCAACCCGUCUCUGUCGCAAAAGAGUGGGAUGAUUUUUAGGUAGAGGUGAAAAGCCUAUCGAACUUAGAGAUAGCUGGUUAUUCAAGAAAAGAAUUUUAGUUCAACCCUAAGUCAACUCCUUCCUCAUCUAAAAAACCCAAUAGACUUAGGAGCUACUCAAAUAAGGCACAGCUUAUUUGAUAAAGGACUCAACCUACAAAAAAGGGUAAACUUCUAAAAAUUUAAGAAAGUUGGCCUAAAAGCAGCCACCUUCAAAAAAAGCGUUAAAGCUUUCUUUAUACAGAGAUCAAAUACCUUACCACACACUAAACCCUUUAACCCUAUUGAAUGAUUCUAUAAAAUAUAGAAACCCCAAUGCUAAAACUAGUAACAAGAAGUUGAACUUCUCCAAAAUACAAGUAUAAACCAGAAUGGACAAGCCACUGAUAACUAACACCACUGAAUCAAGUAUAGCAACUAAACGAGAAAACUCUAUAAACCCUAAUGUUAACCUCACACAAGUGUAUUUUUGGAAAGAUUAAAAAAAAGAGAAGGAACUCGGCAAAUGUUAACCCCGCCUGUUUACCAAAAACAUCGCCUCCUGAUUUUUAUAAGAGGUCCAACCUGCCCAGUGACACAAUUAAACGGCCGCAGUACCCUGACCGCGCGAAGGUAGCAUAAUCAUUUGUUCUCUAAAUAAGGACUUGUAUCAACGGUGCCACGAGGGUUAAACUGUCUCCCCUUUUUAAUCAGUGAAACUGACCUUCCCGUGAAGAGGCGGGAAUAACAAUACAAGACGAGAAGACCCCAUGGAGCUUAAAACUCAAUAACAUCCUCCAUUUCAAACAACCUCUAAGUAGAGAAGACCUGUCUAUUGGUUUUAGGUUGGGGAGACCCUGGAGUAAAACUAAACCUCCAGAACGAACAGAUUUUAUCCUAAUCCCAGAGCCACUGCUCUAAGAAUCAAAAUUUUGACAUAACCUGACCCGCUAAGCGAUCAACGAACCAAGUUACCCUGGGGAUAACAGCGCAAUCCAUUUCAAGAGCUCCUAUCGACAAAUGGGUUUACGACCUCGAUGUUGGAUCAGGGUAUCCCAGUGGUGCAGCCGCUACUAAAGGUUUGUUUGUUCAACAAUUAAAACCCU